This 225-nucleotide ribosomal RNA is filed under the name uncultured bacterium. RNAcentral describes it as "partial 16S ribosomal RNA". It matches the Rfam family "Bacterial small subunit ribosomal RNA", at positions 107 to 334 of the family's 1533-position model. The record is from RNAcentral.
UGAGUAACGCGUAUCCAACCUGCCGUCUACUCUUGGACAGCCUUCUGAAAGGAAGAUUAAUACAAGAUGGCAUCAUGAGUCCGCAUGUUCACAUGAUUAAAGGUAUUCCGGUAGACGAUGGGGAUGCGUUCCAUUAGAUAGUAGGCGGGGUAACGGCCCACCUAGUCUUCGAUGGAUAGGGGUUCUGAGAGGAAGGUCCCCCACAUUGGACUGAGACACGGCCAA